Molecule: ribosomal RNA, 538 nt
Filed under: Bifidobacterium longum subsp. suillum
Lineage: Bacteria; Bacillati; Actinomycetota; Actinomycetes; Bifidobacteriales; Bifidobacteriaceae
Description: bacterial SSU rRNA
Rfam family: Bacterial small subunit ribosomal RNA
Source: RNAcentral
UUCUCCCUGGAAAAGGGUGGUAAUGCCGGAUGCUCCAGUUGAUCGCAUGGUCUUCUGGGAAAGCUUUCGCGGUAUGGGAUGGGGUCGCGUCCUAUCAGCUUGACGGCGGGGUAACGGCCCACCGUGGCUUCGACGGGUAGCCGGCCUGAGAGGGCGACCGGCCACAUUGGGACUGAGAUACGGCCCAGACUCCUACGGGAGGCAGCAGUGGGGAAUAUUGCACAAUGGGCGCAAGCCUGAUGCAGCGACGCCGCGUGAGGGAUGGAGGCCUUCGGGUUGUAAACCUCUUUUAUCGGGGAGCAAGCGAGAGUGAGUUUACCCGUUGAAUAAGCACCGGCUAACUACGUGCCAGCAGCCGCGGUAAUACGUAGGGUGCAAGCGUUAUCCGGAAUUAUUGGGCGUAAAGGGCUCGUAGGCGGUUCGUCGCGUCCGGUGUGAAAGUCCAUCGCUUAACGGUGGAUCCGCGCCGGGUACGGGCGGGCUUGAGUGCGGUAGGGGAGACUGGAAUUCCCGGUGUAACGGUGGAAUGUGUAGAUAU